GACGAACCACACAAACGUUAUUCGGAAUUACUGGGCUUAAAGGGUGCGUAGGCUGCGCAGAAAGUUGGGUGUGAAAUCCCUCGGCUCAACCGAGGAACUGCGCUCAAUACUACUGUGCUCGAGGGAGAUAGAGGUAAGCGGAACUGAGGGUGGAGCGGUGAAAUGCGUUGAUAUCCUCAGGAACACCGGUGGCGAAAGCGGCUUACUGGAUCUCUUCUGACGCUGAGGCACGAAAGCUAGGGUAGCGAACGGG
RNAcentral lists this ribosomal RNA (253 nucleotides) under uncultured bacterium. Its description in RNAcentral is "partial 16S ribosomal RNA". It matches the Rfam family "Bacterial small subunit ribosomal RNA", at positions 524 to 776 of the family's 1533-position model. The record is from RNAcentral.